Long non-coding RNA from Drosophila elegans, 1513 nucleotides. RefSeq lists it as uncharacterized. The transcript has 4 exons. Lineage: Eukaryota; Metazoa; Arthropoda; Insecta; Diptera; Drosophilidae. The record is from RefSeq and is a predicted model, not a curated record.
CCGGCCUGUAGAAAUGACGUUUUAGACGAUGAAGUGUCUUUUUCAUCCCCCCGUGUGCAGCUUUGUGAUCCUCGUGCGCGUUCGCUGUAAGUGUAGAUGUUAUUCCUGUCGGGAUCCACAGCUUCCAAAUUGAGCCUUCAACUUGGUCGUCAAGAUGUUCGAAUGCUGUUCUUUUGAAGAUUAAAGCCCCAUCCACGCGUAAAUCAGGCAAUGUUGCAUCUGAUAAAUCCAAACUUAACUCCGCUAUGCAGCGUGACAGGGUGUCAGCAACCACGUUCUCAGUUUCCUUGCGAUGCUCAAUUUUAAAGUUAAAACUCUGAAGCCUUAAAGACCACCUUGCCAAACGUCCAUUUAGAUCCUUGAGGGACAUUAGCCAUUUUAGGCUUGCGUGGUCCGUGAUCACAAAAAACGGCAUCAGCUCCACGUAAGGCCUAAACUUUUCAACUACUAACAUCGCUCCCAGACAUUCUUUUUCAGUGACGGAAUACAAAAUCUGAUGUUUAUACUAUUAAGCUUGGAAGAGAAGAAAGCUACGGGACGCUCUGAAUUUUCGUCGUCCAACUGGAACAAUACUGCUCCCACUCCAUUGUUUGAGGCGUAGCAUUGGAUAAAGAAUGGACGUUUAAAAUCAGCAUGGACUAAUAUUGGCGCUGUAGUUAGCGCCAUCUUCAAGUGCUUUAUGGCCCAGACAGCCUCCGGAGUCAAGGAAAACUUGCCUCUUGGAUGUUUCUUGAGGACGUCGGUUAGCGGUGCUGCAAUGGAUGCAAAGUUUUUAAUGAAUCGCCUGUAUCACCCUGCUGUACCUAGGAAGCUUCGUAUCUCCUUUACGUUCUUCGGAUCAGGAUUCUUCUGUAUGGCCAACACUCUUUCUGGAUCCAUUUGCAGCUUUCCACCCCAAUGAUAAACUCAAAGCAUUGUGCUGACAAACGGAGAAAUCGCAGAUGCGUCUGGAGGCCAGGAGCUAUCACCAGAAGAUCGUCCAGAUAGACAAAUACGUUUGAUCGUAGUUGUGUUGGAAUGACUUGGUCCAUCAGUCGACAUAAUCUUUGGGCAGCAUUGCAGAGACCGAAGGGCGUCAUCACGAAUUGGUAAAGUGGACGUCUGGCUACUGUGAAAGCGGUAUACUUCCGGCUUUCCGGUUCCAAUUUUAUUUGCCAGAACGCAAAAUUUAAGAUCGACGCUAGAUAUAUAAUAUGUCUGGUCGAUCCUAGACAAUAUGCCUUCGAUACUCGUGAGAGGGUAGGCGUCCUUUAUGACCACUUCCUGCAUCGCUGGUGAUAGCGGAUAACAACGAUCCUUAAACGGUACUGCGCCCCCCACCAACUGGAUAUAGUGCUGUUCUGCUGCAGUCGUUCCUAGCCCAGCUUCUUCGUCCCAAGUUCUACCUCCGUUUCUUGUCUUCUAUCUUCCGCAUAGUGGCUGAUCUCGGACAUCUUGACUUCAGCUACUUGGGCGUGACUGGAUUCGCUGUUUUCGUCGCCUAGAACUGCUGGAGCCAACUCAAAAAUCUCCA